CCCCGGGGCGCGGCCCGCCGCCGAGCAGCCCGCCGCCGAGACGCCGCCCGCGGCCAGGAAGGCCCCCCGGGCCGGGUGCGCAGAUAAAGUCGCUGGUAAAGCUCCCAAAGAAGAGAAGGAGGAGGAGGAAGUGGCCGGCGUGCUCAGCCAUGGCUCUCCCGUGGGCACAGCCCGGCCCGGCCGGAGUUGGCGCAGCAGCCGGACGGCGGCCACCGCUCGCCAGCGCGACUCCGAGAAUUCCCGUGCCUCCAGAUCCAAGGCUGGCUCCCUGCAGCUCAUCUGCAAGUCAGAGCCCAACGCCGACCAGCUGGAGUACGUGGUCACAGAAGAGCAUCAGUCUCCAGAUGGAGUCAGGUAGGACAUGUUAUUUUUUUGGUGUUUGCUCCUAUUUGGUGUCUCAAGAUGGGCCCGAGUCACUUGAAAAUGAAUGCUUGUGCAGAAUGAUCCGUGGGACUGACAGUAGCUCUCUCUCCUUUGGCCCCUCGCCUUUGCAGUUCCAGUGUGCACAGGUGUCAGGAGAUAUUAUGGAGAUACGGAUAGUAAGAUUUGAUCUGGGCACUCCACCUGGUAGCUUUGUUGCUGUGGGUGGGUGGCUUGAGGAGAGGACACAGCUCUGCCUGGCCUGUUUUGGUUGUUGCUGUGCUCCUUGGUCAGUGCAAGCAGUUACCUUUCCCCAGUCAUGCGGGAUGAGGAAGUGCUGUGUAAUAGUGCACAGAUUUUCUUGCAGUAGUGGCCAAGCUGUUGCUGCCAAAGUCCUCUCUUCUCCUUUUCUCCCA
RNAcentral lists this long non-coding RNA (776 nucleotides) under Lonchura striata (white-rumped munia). RNAcentral describes it as "domestica (Bengalese finch) lncRNA (ENSLSDG00000004329.1)". The record is from RNAcentral. Lineage: Eukaryota; Metazoa; Chordata; Aves; Passeriformes; Estrildidae.